GCAGUCAAUAAUGACUAAAGGUGACCCCAAGAAACCAAUGGGCUAAGAUCUACUUUCCCUUCUUUGUAUAGGCCAGAAGUACAAAAAGAAAAAUCCAGAGAUCCCCAUUAGUGUUGCAGGUUUUUAAGAAGUCCUCUUGCAGGUCAGAGACAACGUCUAAGAAAGGAAUCUAAAUUUGAUGAUCUGGAAAUGAAGCAUUUUGGAGCAGCUAAGAGAGGCAGGAAGAAGGAUCCUAAUGUCCACAAACUAUCACUGCCAGCUAGCUUCUUGUUCUGUUUAGAGUUGUAUCCUAAGAACAAAUCCACAAACACUGGCAUCUUAACUGAAGACCAAAAUGUUAGGUAUGAUGUAGAGUACCCUUACUGAUAACAAAAAGCAGCCUUACAAUAAUAAGGGGGUAAAGCUCAAUGAGAAAUAUGACAAGGAUGUAGCCACUUCAGGAAAAUUUGACAGUGCAAAGGAGAAAGCUAAAGUUCCUUGGGGGGAAAAAAAAAAAAGAGGAGUAGGAUGAACAGGAUGACAGACAGGAGAAAGAGAGGGUUAAAGG
Molecule: long non-coding RNA, 547 nt
Filed under: Homo sapiens (human)
Lineage: Eukaryota; Metazoa; Chordata; Mammalia; Primates; Hominidae
Description: non-protein coding lnc-DLX5-5:1
Source: RNAcentral